RNAcentral lists this ribosomal RNA (119 nucleotides) under Peromyscus maniculatus bairdii (prairie deer mouse). The record is from RNAcentral. Lineage: Eukaryota; Metazoa; Chordata; Mammalia; Rodentia; Cricetidae.
GUCUGCCACCACGUCACCCUGAAUGUGUCCCAUCUCAUCUGAUCUUAGAAGAUAAGCAGGGUCAAGUCCAGUUAGUAUUUGGAUGGAAGUGUGUUCUGAUAAAUUAAUUGUGAUUAAGA